This 493-nucleotide ribosomal RNA is filed under the name Bacillus licheniformis. Its description in RNAcentral is "bacterial SSU rRNA". It matches the Rfam family "Bacterial small subunit ribosomal RNA", at positions 27 to 501 of the family's 1533-position model. Lineage: Bacteria; Bacillati; Bacillota; Bacilli; Caryophanales; Bacillaceae. The record is from RNAcentral.
GGACGAACGCUGGCGGCGUGCCUAAUACAUGCAAGUCGAGCGGACCGACGGGAGCUUGCUCCCUUAGGUCAGCGGCGGACGGGUGAGUAACACGUGGGUAACCUGCCUGUAAGACUGGGAUAACUCCGGGAAACCGGGGCUAAUACCGGAUGCUUGAUUGAACCGCAUGGUUCAAUYAUAAAAGGUGGCUUUUAGCUACCACUUACAGAUGGACCCGCGGCGCAUUAGCUAGUUGGUGAGGUAACGGCUCACCAAGGCGACGAUGCGUAGCCGACCUGAGAGGGUGAUCGGCCACACUGGGACUGAGACACGGCCCAGACUCCUACGGGAGGCAGCAGUAGGGAAUCUUCCGCAAUGGACGAAAGUCUGACGGAGCAACGCCGCGUGAGUGAUGAAGGUUUUCGGAUCGUAAAACUCUGUUGUUAGGGAAGAACAAGUACCGUUCGAAUAGGGCGGYACCUUGACGGUACCUAACCAGAAAGCCACGGCUAAC